CCUACGGGUGGCAGCAGUGGGGAAUAUUGGUCAAUGGGGGGAACCCUGAUCCAGCGACGUCGCGUGAGUGAAGAAGUAUUUCGGUAUGUAAAGCUCUAUCAGCAGGGAAGAAAGAAAUGACGGUACCUGCCUAAGAAGCCCCGGCUAACUACGUGCCAGCAGCCGCGGUAAUACGUAGGGGGCAAGCGUGCUCCGGAUUUACUGGGUGUAAAGGGAGCGUAGGCGGCGAUGCAAGUCUGAAGUGAAAGGCGGGGGGCCAACCCCCGGACUGCUGUGGAAACUGUAGGGCUGGAGGGCAGGAGAGGUAAGUGGAAUUCCUGGUGUAGCGGUGAAAUGCGUAGAUAUUAGGAGGAACACCAGUGGCGAAGGCGGCUUACUGGACUGUAACUGACGUUGAGGCUCGAAAGCGUGGGGAGCAAACAGGAUUAGAUACCCGAGUAGUA
RNAcentral lists this ribosomal RNA (443 nucleotides) under uncultured bacterium. Its description in RNAcentral is "partial 16S ribosomal RNA". It matches the Rfam family "Bacterial small subunit ribosomal RNA", at positions 338 to 795 of the family's 1533-position model. The record is from RNAcentral.